CCUACGGGAGGCAGCAGUGGGGAAUAUUGGACAAUGGGGGGAACCCUGAUCCAGCCAUGCCGCGUGUGUGAAGAAGGCCCUCGGGUUGUAAAGCACUUUCAGUGAGGAAGAACGCCUGGUGGUUAAUACCCAUCAGGAAAGACAUCACUCACAGAAGAAGCACCGGCUAACUCCGUGCCAGCAGCCGCGGUAAUACGGAGGGUGCGAGCGUUAAUCGGAAUUACUGGGCGUAAAGCGCGCGUAGGUGGCUUGAUAAGCCGGUUGUGAAAGCCCCGGGCUCAACCUGGGAACGGCAUCCGGAACUGUCAAGCUAGAGUGCAGGAGAGGAAGGUAGAAUUCCCGGUGUAGCGGUGAAAUGCGUAGAGAUCGGGAGGAAUACCAGUGGCGAAGGCGGCCCUCUGGACUGAAACUGACACUGAGGUGCGAAAGCGUGGGUAGCAAACAGGAUUAGAUACCCCUGUAGUC
RNAcentral lists this ribosomal RNA (465 nucleotides) under Vreelandella stevensii. RNAcentral's name for it is "partial 16S ribosomal RNA". It matches the Rfam family "Bacterial small subunit ribosomal RNA", at positions 338 to 795 of the family's 1533-position model. The record is from RNAcentral. Lineage: Bacteria; Pseudomonadati; Pseudomonadota; Gammaproteobacteria; Oceanospirillales; Halomonadaceae.